RNAcentral lists this ribosomal RNA (424 nucleotides) under Verrucomicrobiota bacterium. RNAcentral's name for it is "Verrucomicrobia bacterium partial 16S ribosomal RNA". It matches the Rfam family "Bacterial small subunit ribosomal RNA", at positions 355 to 776 of the family's 1533-position model. The record is from RNAcentral. Lineage: Bacteria; Pseudomonadati; Verrucomicrobiota.
UGAGGAAUAUUGGUCAAUGGGCGAGAGCCUGAACCAGCCAAGUAGCGUGCAGGAUGACGGCCCUAUGGGUUGUAAACUGCUUUUAUGUGGGGAUAAAGUGCGUGACGUGUCAUGCAUUGUAGGUACCACAUGAAUAAGGACCGGCUAAUUCCGUGCCAGCAGCCGCGGUAAUACGGAUGGUCCGGGCGUUAUCCGGAUUUAUUGGGUUUAAAGGGAGCGUAGGCUGUCUAUUAAGCGGGUUGUGAAAUUUACCGGCUCAACCGGUGGCUUGAAGCGCGAACUGGUCGACUUGAGUAUGCAGGAAGUAGGCGGAAUUCAUGGUGUAGCGGUGAAAUGCUUAGAUAUCAUGACGAACUCCGAUUGCGAAGGCAGCUUACUGUAGCAUAACUGACGCUGAUGCUCGAAAGUGCGGGUAUCAAACAGG